CGUUAUGGCGGUUGUGCGCGGGAGAUCUUCGGGUCUGCCGGGUCCCAAUAACCGGUCUUGCACACCCGCGCACAACUGCCACCUUC
RNAcentral lists this non-coding RNA (86 nucleotides) under Pseudomonas psychrophila. Lineage: Bacteria; Pseudomonadati; Pseudomonadota; Gammaproteobacteria; Pseudomonadales; Pseudomonadaceae. The record is from RNAcentral.